UAGUCCACACCGUAAACGAUGAGAGCUAGUUGUCUGCAAGCAUGCUUGUAGGUGACGCAGCUAACGCAUUAAGCUCUCCGCCUGGGGAGUACGGUCGCAAGAUUAAAACUCAAAGAAAUUGACGGGGGCCCGCACAAGCGGUGGAGCAUGUGGUUUAAUUCGAAGCAACGCGCAGAACCUUACCUACCCUUGACAUGCCGGUCGCGAUUUCCAGAGAUGGAUUUCUUCAAUUCGGUUGGACCGUGCACAGGUGCUGCAUGGCCGUCGUCAGCUCGUGUCGUGAGAUGUUGGGUUAAGUCCCGCAACGAGCGCAACCCUCACUUUUAGUUGCCAGCAUUUAGUUGGGCACGUCUAGAAGAACUGCCGGUGCUAAGCCGGAGGAAGGUGGGGAUGGACGUCAGGUCCUCAUGGCCCUUACGGGUACGGGCGUACGACACGUGCUACAAUGGCGCUGACAGAGGGUUAAUCCCGUAAAAGGCCGUACGUCAGUUCGGAUUGUCUCUGC
This 505-nucleotide ribosomal RNA is filed under the name uncultured bacterium. RNAcentral's name for it is "bacterial SSU rRNA". It matches the Rfam family "Bacterial small subunit ribosomal RNA", at positions 791 to 1308 of the family's 1533-position model. The record is from RNAcentral.